This 289-nucleotide ribosomal RNA is filed under the name uncultured bacterium. RNAcentral's name for it is "partial 16S ribosomal RNA". It matches the Rfam family "Bacterial small subunit ribosomal RNA", at positions 775 to 1067 of the family's 1533-position model. The record is from RNAcentral.
GGAUUAGAUACCCUGGUAGUCCACGCCGUAAACGAUGUCUACUAGUUGUCGGUUGUCUUGUACGACGGGUAACGCAGCUAACGCGAUAAGUAGACCGCCUGGGGAGUACGGCCGCAAGGUUAAAACUCAAAUGAAUUGACGGGGGCCCGCACAAGCGGUGGAGCAUGUGGUUUAAUUCGAAGCAACGCGAAGAACCUUACCAGGGCUUGACAUACAGUGCAAAACUAUAGAGAUAUAGCAGAGGUUAACAUUGAUACAGGUGGUGCAUGGUUGUCGUCAGCUCGUGCCG